UCUCCAGGGCGCCCCGCUGGCUCUCGUGCCACGUAAGGCUGAGUCCUUACUGCAGUGCCCUGGGUUCGAGCCUGGGCCCUUUGCCGCAUGUCAAAGAAAGUGCAGCUCCCUCUCGACUUCGCCUCCUUUGCACAGCUGGCAGAACCGCUUCUCUUCGGGGAGCCAUGAUUUCUUUUGUGUCGGCCUGUCUUGAUCACCAGGUUGUGCUCACUGGGUCCGCACUCUGUCAAGGCGGCACGGUGGCGCAGUGGUUAGCGCGGUCGCCUCACAGCAAAAAGGUCCUGGAUCCGAGCUCUGGGGUAAUCCAAUUUUGGGGGUCGUCUCUGGUCGUCCUCUGUGUGGAGUUUGCAUGUUCUGCCCGUGUCUAGGUGGGUUUCCUCCGGAUGCUGUCGGCCUGUCCAGGGUGUCUCCCCGCCUGCCACCCAGUGACCGCUGGGAUAGGCACCAGCAUCUCAUGACCCUGAACCUCCUUCAGACUCCAUCUCGCUCCCUGCGGUCUUCACCAGCAAGUCUAUUGGCACUACCAGCCAUCAACCUCAGCACAAUGGGUGCCGGGGCUUUCUCCUAUGCUGCACCCAAACUCUGGAACUCCAUUACCUGUCACAUCCACUUACUGGACUCCAUAACAGAAUUCAAAACUGCUCUUAAAGCCCACCUUUUUAAAUUAGCAUACUCACUUUAACAGCAUUAACAGCAUCAAACUCAUCUUUCUGUAUCUCCUGCUGAUGUAUGCUCUACUGCUUGUUGUGUGUUUUAUUGUUGAUGGCACUAUAAUGUUUUUUACUGCUUUGUUUUAUUGUAUUUGAUGUAAGGUGACCUUGAGUGUCAUGAAAGGUGCCUUUAUA
Molecule: long non-coding RNA, 845 nt
Organism: Lampris incognitus (smalleye Pacific opah)
Lineage: Eukaryota; Metazoa; Chordata; Actinopteri; Lampriformes; Lampridae
Exons: 3
Source: RefSeq, a predicted model, not a curated record